UUUUAUCCUUUUCAAAUUAAACCCACCCCCUACACGCUUUCUCUCUCUCUCUCUCUCUCUCUCUCUUCCACUUUCAUGAAACCCUAGUAGCCGCCUUCGCUUUCCUCACGUCUCUCAUGCCAAAAAUGGCAAAUUUGCAUACCUGGGCUGAUAUGCACAACAUUUGCAUGCUUAUUGUGGUGAAAGUGCUAAAGUUUUACACGUUUUCAUGUUCUUUCUACCCGAAUAUGAUUUGGAAGCACAGAGGAUCCCAAAUCCAUUCUUUUCUUGGCUGCGCAUUUAAAAGGUGUGGUUAACGGCGACCAGGUAGUCGGUUGUUGAUCAUUCCAGCCUUCUUAAGUCUAGUUCAGUCGAGGUGAGCCACCAUUAGAUCAUGGCGGCCUCUUCUUCGUUAGUUGACUUAGUAGUAUUCCGAGCUAUGUCUUUCUUUUGUAUUCAGACUAGUAGUUCCAUGAUUUAGACAUUUUAUGGGAUUUAUUGGCAGACUCAGUAUUUGUAGUUCGCUUUCGCACUUUUCUUUAUAUUAUGAGACAUGUAGUAUUAUUCA
Molecule: long non-coding RNA, 547 nt
Organism: Lycium barbarum (goji berry)
Lineage: Eukaryota; Viridiplantae; Streptophyta; Magnoliopsida; Solanales; Solanaceae
Exons: 3
Source: RefSeq, a predicted model, not a curated record